This 296-nucleotide ribosomal RNA is filed under the name uncultured bacterium. RNAcentral's name for it is "partial 16S ribosomal RNA". It matches the Rfam family "Bacterial small subunit ribosomal RNA", at positions 775 to 1067 of the family's 1533-position model. The record is from RNAcentral.
GGAUUAGAUACCCUGGUAGUCCUAGCUGUAAACGAUGGAUGCUAGACGUAGGAACUGGAUUGACGGUUUCUGUGUCGCAGCUAACGCUUUAAGUUGUCCGCCUGGGGAGUACGGCCGCAAGGUUAAAACUCAAAUGAAUUGACGGGGACCCGCACAAGCGGUGGAGCAUGUGGUUUAAUUCGAUGCAACGCGAAAAACCUUACCUACACUUGACAUACUUCGAAUUUUCUAGAGAUAGAUUAGUGCCUUCGGGAACGGAGAUACAGGUGCUGCAUGGCUGUCGUCAGCUCGUGUCG